CAUGGAAAUAGUUGGACUCUGAGCAAAAGAAUGGACUCCCGGUUGCUGUUCUGUGUUGACUUAACUGAGGGAGGCCAGACUCCAUGGAAGCACCUUGGACAGAUGAAAAGGAGCAUCCAUGAUGAAGACCGAUGUGGGUCCAAAUACCACCAUGAGUGACUCCAGAGAAGAAGUGGAAUUCCACAGUGAAUUGUAAAGUGAGGCCAACGCAUAGUUGUCUAUUGGGCGUUUAUGUUUACCCAGUGGUAGUUUCCACAUCUGAAAGAAGCGGGCCUUCUUUUGAGGACGGCAGAAGGAUUUAGCCCAUCACAACGCACGAACACAGGCCCAAAAUGGGUUAGAUUUGUAGCAUGGUCAUCCCAACUCUAGGGCACAAAGAGGUGCCUCCUCGGACACAUUUUGAAUCUUGCAAAAGGCAAUAAGUGCCUUUUAGCUUAUUAUGAUUACAGUAGAGUCUCACUUAUCCAACACUUACUUAUCCAACGUUCUGGAUUAUCCAACGCAUUUUUGUAGUCAAUGUCUUCAAUACAUCAUGAAAUUUUGGUGCUAAAUUCAUAAAUACAGUAAUUACUACAUAGCAUUACUGUGUAUUGAACUACUUUUUCUGUCAAAUUUGUUAUAUAACAUGAUGUUUUAGUGCUUAAUUUGUAAAAUCACAAUCUAAUUUAAUGUUUAAUAGGCUUUUCCUUAAUCUCUCCUUAUUAUCCAACAUAUUCGCUCAUCCAACGUUCUGCCGGCCCGUUUAUGUUGGAUAAGCGAGGCUCUACUGUAUAUUGUUGCAACUACAAAUGAGAGGAGGUGCCCCCGGUGGCACGGCGGAUUAAACUGCUGAGCUUCUGAACUUGCUGACCGAAAGGUCGGCAGUUUGAAUCCAGGGAGUGGGGUGAGCUCCCACUGUCAGCCUCAGCUUCUGCCAACCUAGCAGUACGAAAACAUGCAAAUGUGAGUAGAUCAAUGCAGUCAUACUGGCCACAUGAUCUUGGAGGUGUCUAGGGACAACGCCAGCUCUUUGACUUAAAAAUGGAGAUGAGCACCAACCCCCAGAGUCAGACACGACUAGACUCAAUGUCAAGGGGGAACCUUUACCUUUUAAUGAUCUAUAAAAAUACUAUAUCAAUGGAUUCUUCUUCCACGUUUUUAACAUUAUGCUAUAGAGAAGGAGCCCCCGAUGGUGCAGCAGGUUAAACCACUGAGCUGCAGAACUUUUCUGACCAAAAGAUUGGUGGUUUGAAUUUGGGGAGUGGGGUGAGCUCCCACUGUUAGCCCCAGCUCCUACCAACCUAGCAGUUCGAAAACAUGCAAAUGUAAGUAGAUCAAUAGGUACCGCUUCUGCGGGAAGGUAACAGCACUCCAUGCAUUCAUGCUGGCCACAUGACCUUGGAAGUGUCUACAGACAAAGUUGGCUCUUUGGCUUAGAAAUGGAGAUGAGACCACCCCCCCCAGAGUCGGAAACAACUAGACUUAAUGUUAGGGGAAAACCUUUACCUUAACCUUACAAAUAAGAGGAGAUGCUUGUACAAUUUUCUACCUUAUGGUACAUCUACACUGUUGACACCAUUCUAACUGUUAUGGCUCCAAUACAGUUGGAGUUUUACAAGGGCUUUGACCUUCUCUGCCAAAUACUGCUAUUACCUCGCCCAAAUGCAACCCCCAUGUUUAUGUUGAGCAAUGGCAAUUAAAGUGGUGUCAAAGUGCAUUACUUCUACAGUGUAGGUGCAGCCUCAGGCACUGAAGUAGAUUUGCUAGUCUAGGGUACCAUGUGCAUUAACUUUGGAACCAAGGUGUCAUUUGCUUCUGUUCAUCAGGCACAGAAUGUCUUGUUUGCCAUUUGCCCCUGUUUAGGUAAUUCACAGCAUUCGUAUUAAAUUCCAGAAAUACACAUAUAGAGUCAGGUUUUUUUAGUUCAGUUUUAUUAUUAAAGCAAAAAGCCACAACCCCACCCCCCCAAAUACAAUAUAAUAAAAUAUUAGAAUAUAAUGCAACAACACUUUUUUUCAUGUCAGGAGUGACUUGAGAAACUGCAAGUCACUUGUGGUGUGACAGAAUUGGCCAUCUGCAAGGACGUUGCCCAGAGGAUGCCUGGAUGUUUGGCGUUGUUACCAUCCUUGUGGGAGUUGUUGUUACCAUCUCAUGUCCCCGCAUGGGGAGCUGGAGCUGACAGAAGGAGCUCAUCCACACUCUGUCCUGAUUCGAACCGGCAACCUUAAGAUCAGCAACCCAACUUUCAAGUCAGCAGUCCUGCCAGCACAACACAUGAAAAAUGUUCAUAAUGAAUUAGAAUAAUCACAUCCUUACAAAGUAUAUUAAAACAAAAAUACAAUAUCACAACAUCACAAAAAUGACAAAUUUACAAUCUAUUAAUUAAGAGAGAAAAGUAACCUAGAAUGAAAUUGUUCUUGUUGUGUGCCAUCAAGCCAUUUCCCAAGUAAGGUGUUCUAUAGUGAUCAUGGGGCUUUCUGAGGCUGAGAAUAUGUGACUUGGCCAAGGUCACCCAAUGGGUUUUCAUGAUUGAGCGGGGAUUCAAACCCUGGUCUCCAGAAUCAUUGUCCAACCCUGAAUCGACUACACCAUGCUGGCUAUACUUGGUCUAAUUGUCUGUUUUGCUUGCCACAGAAUUAUUCAGCUUUGACUUUAACUUGUUUUGACAACCAAAGCUCCAAGAAUGUGAUAAAUAUAUCUUGAUCAGAUAAUAGCAUAAUCAGUUUCUCCUGACUUGUUUUCCCUAAAAGUUGUUCUAUGAUGACUGCAAAUAAGAAGUAAAGGAAUAAGCAUUGGAUUAUUAAGAAGUGUGAGACCUGUGAUUUAAGGUACAAAUAACAUUUAGUAUAAUGCCAAGUUUUUAAUUUUGUGUUUUCAAAUACAUUACAACUGUACCCUCGGUUUGCUUCUGACAUGAUAAAUAAAAAAUAAGGUUACUGCCAUAACUAAAAAUCUACUCUAGAACUGCACUCAGACAAACUGGUCAUGAAGGAAAAUGUGUAUUCAAGGUGAUUAAUCUGUUUUCCUUUCCAUGAUGGGAUUUGCUCAAAAAUACACUUUUUAGUAAUCAGACCUGCAAAUUAAAUUUAUAUUUAUCUUCCAAUGACCAAUUACAACAUCCGGCACACUCCAUGCAAGAUAGACUAUGACAAGCAGAGAUCUGUAUCUUUUGAGAUCGUUCCUUCUUCUAAAAACAUGGUAUCAUCUAAUUUGAGAGAGAACUUCACUGUCGACCUUCAUCUACAAAGUUGAAGUUUAUGGAGACAAGAAGAGCCUUUUAGGUGUGGGUUUUAAAUUAUGCAAAGGUUUCCUUUUUUGCUGUUUCUAAAUGGACCUUUCAGGACAUUUUAUAUCUUCCACAUCUUAGUUGAUUUCUCAAGACGUUUUUAAAACUCUGGAAUCCUAUACAUGCUAUGCGCAAAAGUAAAUCCCAUCAAGUUCAAUAGGACAUAAUUCCAGUUAAAUAUAUAUAUAGGAGUCUGUCACUGAUAGCAUUUUUAUAAUGCUUUAUAAUGAUGCCUUUAUUGCUUUUGCUUUAUUGUUGGGUUUGCUUUUGUGUGUGUGAUUUAUAUUCUUUCAUCUGUAAGCUGCCUUGAGUUUGAUUUUAUCAUUGAAAAGGGGGAUAUAAAUGCCAAAAAAUAAAUGUUAAGCUUAAUAUAGUAUAACAGAGGUGAGGAACUUCCUGUCCUAUAGAUAUUUGGACUUCAGUUUUAACAGUACCAUAGCAUUUGCCAUGCUGUCUACAGCUAAUGAUGAGUCCCUUCGGGGAGAGACGGCAGAUUAUAAAUAAAGUGUUAUUAUUAUUAUAGACCAAAAGAUCUGGAGGGCCAAAUAUUCCCCAUUCCUAGGGAGACUGAAUUUCAGCCCAAGGGAGAUUCAAUCAAGAAAGCCAUGACUUUCAGUUUAUAAGGUGUCAGCAGAGCAGUUAAUAACCAGGGUUCUUGGAGGUCUCUCAUUCACAGGGUUACCAUAGUUGAAAUCAACUUUAACUCAGAUAAAGGAAGACGCUACAUAACAGAGCUAUCUGUUCAGAUGUUCCACCUGAACAUCAGGAAGAACUUUCUCACUGUGAGAGCUGUUCAGCAGUGGAACUCUCUGCCCCGGACUGUGGUGGAGGCUCCUUCUUUGGAGGCUUUUAAGCAGAGGCUGGAUGGCCAUCUGUCGGGGGUGCUUUGAAUGAGAUUUUCCUGCUUCUUGCAGGGGGUUGGACUGGAUGGCCCGUGAGGUCUCUUCCAACUCUACGAUUCUAUGAUUCUAUGAAUCUAUCUUAUGGGGAGUUCUCAUUUGUUGGAGGUAUUCAAGCAGAGGUUGGAUGCCUGUCUCCUAGGGAUACUCAUUUUACAUGGUUACACUCAUCUUCCUCCACUACUACCAGGCCCAACAUUCCACAGUUGCAGGAUCUCUUUCCUCAGUGCAAGAAACUGUGGGUAUAAUCAUAGAGAUUGUCUUGAUCACUGACUCAUAGUUGGAUGUACUCUACUUGUGACAGUUCUGGAACCAUUGGAUGCUAGUCCAUGGUGAGCAUCCAGGAAAUAAUGGUUGCCAUAGCCAAAGAGUAUGAACAUGGUGGCAAACCCUAGCUCAUCAUAAAAUAGUAAUUGGAAGUUCCUCACAUUAAAUAGCAUGAGAAUUAUUGACCUACUGUCAUGCUCACCCAUGUCAUGCAACUAUCAGCUCCACGGUCCAGGCAUAGAGCACAUGGCCAAUGGCCAAAAGAGAGGUGGGUUCUGGUAUGAAGGUGUCAGAAGGUGGGUUCUGGUAUGCGGGAAAGGGCAGGCACCAGGCAGCAGAGGUUUUGGGUUAUUAAUAACAUUGUAGGUAAGCCCCUAUACAGAUGGGCAGUAGUGCUAGACUCUUGUAUUCAGAACAAUAAAGAUGUAUGGUAUCUUCA
Molecule: long non-coding RNA, 4870 nt
Organism: Anolis carolinensis (green anole)
Lineage: Eukaryota; Metazoa; Chordata; Lepidosauria; Squamata; Anolidae
Exons: 3
Source: RefSeq, a predicted model, not a curated record